GCAAACUUGGUCAUUUAGAGGAAGUAAAAGUCGUAACAAGGUUUCCGUAGGUGAACCUGCGGAAGGAUCAUUAUUGUAAUCUCUUAUGGGAGCUCUGACAUGUAUGGUGCUGGCAUUUUGCAAUGUGCACACACUUGUUAUCUCUCAUUAUAUUCCAACCCACACCUGUGAACCACUGUGGAAAGUUGAAUGUAAUGGAUGAAAGUCCUUUACUGCCAACUAUUCCAUUUUUUCAAUACACACCACGUUGAAAUUUUAAUGAUUUGAAGUUAUAUAUUGAGAAAUCAAUACAACUUUCAACAACGGAUCUCUUGGCUCUCGCAUCGAUGAAGAACGCAGC
This 340-nucleotide unclassified non-coding RNA is filed under the name uncultured fungus. RNAcentral describes it as "partial contains small subunit ribosomal RNA, internal transcribed spacer 1, and 5.8S ribosomal RNA". The stretch from base 1 to 73 matches the Rfam family "Eukaryotic small subunit ribosomal RNA", at positions 1759 to 1831 of the family's 1831-position model. Lineage: Eukaryota; Fungi. The record is from RNAcentral.